Molecule: small RNA, 106 nt
Filed under: Flavobacterium sp. 245
Lineage: Bacteria; Pseudomonadati; Bacteroidota; Flavobacteriia; Flavobacteriales; Flavobacteriaceae
Description: Flavo-1 RNA
Source: RNAcentral
CGAUAUGCGUGAGGGGUAGAAACGGCAUCCUUUUGUGACAAAUAUUAAGUGCUCGUUAAAUGAUUUUUUUCUGGAACAAAAGAUAUAGUGGAUAACCCGACCCUAU